CACGCUCUCAAGUCUGCACACAGGAAAGGGUCCUGAUAAGAGGAUGGUACUGAAAUCGGGGGUGCCAGGUCUCAUUCGGCUCAUCGGCCUGGGUGGCCGAUGGGGUGGGACUGAGGCUGGGAUUUUAUUGUAGUGAUGACCUCCCCACCCCCCAAGGCGAGCACGCUCAGGGGUAGGAAGCAGGCUCUGGUUUUCGGUAGUCUUCCUGAAUGGGGAUGGCGCCCCCCUCUUCCUCCCUGGGGCAGCUGUAAGGACAAGGCUCUGCAGGCAUCACUGGACUUUCUUCUUUGUCUGCAGGAGGAGAAUCAGAGGCAGUAAAGGUGGGGGGUGGUGAAGAGCGUGGACAUGAGCAAAGGAGGGCUAGUUUGGGGGAGGCUGGCAGGGGGUGCCGACAAAGAGGCGAGAGAGAAGGUGGGAGCAAGGGUUGGUAAAGAUAGUGCGAGGGAGGCUUCCGAGAGGUUCCAGGCAUGGGUGGCGGGGCUAAGGAAGUAGGGUGGGGUGCAGGGACAGGACUGGAGACCUGCAUUUUGUCUCUUACUUAGUCCAUUUUUUCUUUGUUGAUGGAGGCACAGGGCUCCGACCAUGGUGAAAGCAAGAAACAUUCCAGAGAGGACCACAAAGAUGCGGAUGCAGUCUGUGCUGCACAGGGACCUUUGGGCUGUGGUAGACAGGGGCCACACAAGUGUUUUUGGGGAGGGCCUAGGUCUCGACUCUCCUCAGCCCAGGCCUCCUGUUACCCAUCUGCCAUCUCUCUCUCACCCCGAUCCCCACUGCUACCAUUGGACUAAGUCCUUUCCUAAUCUUUAGAUUCUGCUUCUCCUACUUCUUACUCCUACUCCAGGAGCUUUCUGGCUGACUUCCCUCUCUUGUAUGCAUUCUCUCUGGGGGUGGAGAAUGGGGAGGAAACUCACGUGGUCCGUGGGUAGAGAGAGCUGGGGCAGGCAGCCACCUGAAAUCAGCUAGAGUUUGCACCUGCCGGACUGUCCCGGCCUCUGGCAUCUCUGGAAAAAGAGACAGGGUGAGCAGCAGCAGGGCACCUCCCAGGGCACAAGCCUGGGCUGAAUGAGGGCCUGAGGCCUAAGAGGCGCUGGGUGAGAUGGGAAGGCUGACCAGCUGGCCGGGCAACUUAUGUGGGGAGGGUGCUGGUUGGGGGGGGGGUGCCCUUAUCCCUGUGACUGGACAAAGUGUUGCCUGGAACUUACUUUUGGCGUAAGGUAAGUGGGUGGGUUGUAGGUGUGGACCUGGGGCCUGAGAUGGACGAGGUGUCAGUGAGGGGUUUGAAGGAGGAUCACACUCGGUACACUCCUUGUCCCUGCACUGCCAGCCCUUGGGACAGGCACACUCUGCAUUGGCGGUGAGGGUGCAGUUUCGAAUGAGGAGACCUGGGGACAGAGGAGGGCAGGAGGAACACGAGAAGCUCAGGCCUCAGAGACCUGCAAGGUGCGCUCGCUAAAUCCUAUCUUGAGCUGCUGUCCCAGACCCGACUCCCGGAACUCCUGCCCCAUCUACACAAGGGCCUGCCCCUCCCUCGCUGUCACCCAGUGCCUCUGCCUUUAUUACUAUUGCCAUGAAAGGAAAAAUGUAGACCUUUUAGAAAAUUCAUGCUUCGGAAAUGCAAACUGGAAAAAGUAGAAACAGCUUGCAUGAUUUUCUCUCUUAUUCACUGAUACUUUUAUAACUUCUUGAAGUGUAAUUUACUUACAGAGAGGUACAGAGAUCAGAAGCGUCAAACUUGAGAAUUGCUACAAAUUGGACCCAUAGACAAGAGAAGCAGAGUUCCUUUCUAGUCACUACCUCCUCCCACCCACACAUAACCACUAUCUAGCCUGACUUCCUAACACUGCGAGUUCAUUUUGCUUCUUUUUGCACUACAUUUGUGUAGUCAUGGGUGUGUACUUACUUGUAUCAGGCACUCGUAUUCAAUCUUUGUGAAAUUCAUCCACAUUGUAACCAUAGGCUAUUCCUUCUCCUGCUGUAUAGUAUUCCACUGUAUGAAUUUCCCAUGAUUCAGUUAUCUAUUCUACUGCAAAUGGCACGUGGGUAGUGUCCAGUUUUUAAGCAAUCAGGAAUAGUGCUGCUAUGGUCCCUGAUAGGUUUUUACUUUUUAAUUUGUUUUUAAAUGUUCAUUUUUGAGAGGGGGGAGGGGCAAAAAGAGAGGGAGAGAGAGAAUCUCAAGCAGGCUCUGAGCUGGCAGUGCAGAGCCCGACGUGGGCUCAAACCCACAAACCAUGAGAUCAUGACCUGAGCUGAAAUCAAGAGUUGGACACUUAAGCAACUGAGCCACCCAGGUGGCCCCCUGAUAGGUUUUUAACUUUACUAGAGAUUUACUUCAUUACUAACACACUUUGCCUUUUUAAAAAAAAAAAAAUUUAAAUGUUUAUUUAUUUUUGAAAGACAGAGACACAGACAGAGUGCAAACAGAGGAGGGCAGAGAGAGAGGGAGACACAGAAUCUGAAGCUGGCUCCAGGCUCUGAGCUGUCAGCACAGAGCCCGACGCAGGGCUCAAACCCACAAACCGUGAGAUCAUGACCUGAGCUGAAGUCGGACACUCAACCGACUGAGCCACCCAGGUGCCCCUACUUUGCCUUUUAAAUAGAAAUGUUAUUCAAGUGUAGAGGUCGGGUGCUGAAUGACUGCCAAUAAAUUAUACUAGAGGAGGAGGAUGUGAGGGGUUCUAGUCUGGGUUGGACUCACAGGUGGUUGGGGUUAAGAAGAGGAGGGUGAUUCUGGGGAAGGCAUCGGCACCCGGACAUGGGCCAGGUUUGCCCAUGGACUGGUGGGACCUUAGGACAGUGCACUCAUGGGGAACCAGGGAGAAGAGCCCCCACAGGCAAGGAGGGGUGCAGAAAGGAAGGCUGGCAGAUGUCGAAGAUGCCUACUAGUACUCUAAUAUUCCUUUAGCAUGUGCUUUUUGUGAGGAAAGGGAGAGGGACACAAAUUCCUUCUUCCCAUCCUUAGGCCCCUAGGGCCGCUUCUUUCUGAAUUUUGACUCGUAGUUGCUACUAGAAUUUGGUUUCCUUGUGGCUUACCAGGAAUUGUGAGCCAGCCUGGACAAGGAUCUGCAAGAAGAGAACAGUGAUAGGGGAGAGGAGAAGAGGUAGGCAAAGGUGAGGAAGAUCACCUCAGACCCAGGAGGGGGUGGGCAGGAGGGUAUCUGCCCAAAGGCAAGAGAAGGGUUAAGGAGGGGGCUGGGCUUGGUUACAA
RNAcentral lists this long non-coding RNA (3205 nucleotides) under Lynx pardinus (Iberian lynx). The record is from RNAcentral. Lineage: Eukaryota; Metazoa; Chordata; Mammalia; Carnivora; Felidae.